Cyanistes caeruleus (blue tit) is the source of this 725-nucleotide long non-coding RNA. RefSeq lists it as uncharacterized. The record is from RefSeq and is a predicted model, not a curated record. NCBI's taxonomy places the organism in Eukaryota, Metazoa, Chordata, Aves, Passeriformes, Paridae.
GCAGCUCUCUCGAGUACGAUCCAUGUUUUUAAGAUCCAUGCAGCAGGAAUCAGUUUGAUCCCAGCUGACUAAACACAGAAAUUCAGGAGUCUUGCCCAGGUUCCCACAGGGAGGGCUGGAUCCUGUGAGGAUUAGGCAUGUCCUCACAGGCACUGCAGUCACAUAAAGCAGCGGCUAUGCUCAGGGUGUAAUUUCCUUCCAGGGAUGUUUCCUUCCCAUGGAAGAUGGGAUUGUGGCUGGAUUUUACAUGCUGCAGUACACUGAAACUCCUUGACUCUUCAGCACUGAUAAAAAAAGAGAAACUCACCUCAUUUUAGCAUUUUCCAGUGUAUUUUCGACCAAGAUUUGCAAACCUAGCCAGACAUUAUGGAGUAACUAGACUGUGUUUUAAAUAGCUGUCCUUCCUCAUUAUCCAGCACAGACAGAGUAAUUAAUUACCUGGGACUGCUGUGAUCCCAGGUGAAUUGCUCCCAGCUUAAAGUUCCACUGGUUUACUGGGAUUUGGAACAAAAAACCAGGAGUCUGCUGCUCCCUGUACCUGGGGCAAACCUCAAUCACAGAAAAACUCUGGCAUAUUUCAUGGUGAGGAACUUGAAAUACAGGAGGAAAGAACACACACACAGAGCCAGCAAUUCCACAGUCUAUGAAGAACUGGGAAAAGAAAACAGCACCUGCACCUCCCAGUGUCCUCCUGCUUAGUUCUGCUGCUCAGCAGAGCUCGCAGC